UACACUCCUGCGGGAGGCAGCAGUGGGGAAUAUUGGACAAUGGGCGCAAGCCUGAUCCAGCCAUGCCGCGUGAGUGAUGAAGGCCCUAGGGUUGUAAAGCUCUUUCACCGGAGAAGAUAAUGACGGUAUCCGGAGAAGAAGCCCCGGCUAACUUCGUGCCAGCAGCCGCGGUAAUACGAAGGGGGCUAGCGUUGUUCGGAAUUACUGGGCGUAAAGCGCACGUAGGCGGAUCGAUCAGUCAGGGGUGAAAUCCCAGGGCUCAACCCUGGAACUGCCUUUGAUACUGUCGAUCUGGAGUAUGGAAGAGGUGAGUGGAAUUCCGAGUGUAGAGGUGAAAUUCGUAGAUAUUCGGAGGAACACCAGUGGCGAAGGCGGCUCACUGGUCCAUUACUGACGCUGAGGUGCGAAAGCGUGGGGAGCAAACAGGAUGAGAAACCCCAGUAGUCCCAUGA
This 452-nucleotide ribosomal RNA is filed under the name uncultured organism. RNAcentral's name for it is "partial 16S ribosomal RNA". It matches the Rfam family "Bacterial small subunit ribosomal RNA", at positions 332 to 800 of the family's 1533-position model. The record is from RNAcentral.